This 343-nucleotide ribosomal RNA is filed under the name uncultured bacterium. RNAcentral's name for it is "bacterial SSU rRNA". It matches the Rfam family "Bacterial small subunit ribosomal RNA", at positions 8 to 334 of the family's 1533-position model. The record is from RNAcentral.
AGGGUUUGAUUAUGGCUCAGGAUGAACGCUGGCGGCGUGCCUAACACAUGCAAGUCGAGCGAGAAGCUCAUAACAGAUGCUUCGGUUGAAGUUAUGAGUGGAAAGCGGCGGACGGGUGAGUAACGCGUAGGCAACCUGCCCUUUGCAGAGGGAUAGCCUCGGGAAACCGGGAUUAAAACCUCAUAAUGCUGAAGGAAGACAUCUUUUUUCAGCCAAAGAUUUAUCGGCAAAGGAUGGGCCUGCGUCUGAUUAGUUAGUUGGUGGGGUAACGGCCUACCAAGGCGACGAUCAGUAGCCGACCUGAGAGGGUGAUCGGCCACAUUGGAACUGAGACACGGUCCAA